This is a long non-coding RNA of Helianthus annuus (common sunflower), 250 nucleotides long. RefSeq lists it as uncharacterized. NCBI's taxonomy places the organism in Eukaryota, Viridiplantae, Streptophyta, Magnoliopsida, Asterales, Asteraceae. The record is from RefSeq and is a predicted model, not a curated record. The transcript is spliced from 3 exons.
CGACCAGAGCAAAAAGGGACCAAGGAGAAACCCUAAGUUCAUAAAAUUCUCAAAAUCGGAAGGAGUUUAAGAGCCCAAACAGAUGCAUGAACCCAAAACUUGAAUAAUCUAAGCUUGUUCAACGAUUGGUGUUAAGGAAGAAAGUUCAAGUCAAGCGAAGCAACAAGGGAAUCAAGAUCGAGGUAAAACUCAAGUUUAGGUGGUUAUGCUUCGCUUGGAUCGAACACACUUUGUAUGCCGUUCGUGCGCU